CUCGAGGCCAGAUCUUUCCGGUUGAUCCUGCCGGAACCGACCGCUAUCGGGGUAGGGCUAAGCCAUGGGAGUCGAACGCCCCGCCGCUGCGGGGCGUGGCGGACGGCUGAGUAACACGUGGCUAACCUACCCUCGGGACGGGGAUAACCCCUCGGGAAACUGGGGCUAAUCCCCGAUAGGCGGGGGGUGCCUGGAAGGGUCCUCCGCCGAAAGGGGCCGCGGGGGGUUAUCGCCCGCGGUCCGCCCGAGGAUGGGGCUGCGGCCCAUCACGGUAGUUGGCGGGGUAAUGGCCCGCCAAGCCUACGACGGGUAGGGGCCGUGAGAGCGGGAGCCCCCAGAUGGGCACUGAGACAAGGGCCCAGGCCCUACGGGGCGCACCAGGCGCGAAAACUCCGCAAUGCGGGCAACCGUGACGGGGCUACCCCGAGUGCCCCCCUUGGGGGGGCUUUUCCCCGCUGUAAGUAGGCGGGGGAAUAAGCGGGGGGCAAGACUGGUGUCAGCCGCCGCGGUAAUACCAGCCCCGCAAGCGGUCGGGGUGUUUACUGGGCCUAAAGCGCCCGUAGCCGGCUCGACAAGUCCCCGCCUAAA
This 588-nucleotide ribosomal RNA is filed under the name uncultured archaeon. Its description in RNAcentral is "partial 16S ribosomal RNA". It matches the Rfam family "Archaeal small subunit ribosomal RNA", at positions 1 to 549 of the family's 1478-position model. The record is from RNAcentral.